UCACGGCGGCACCGACAAUAGAGACGUAAAAAAAUCGAGUGGAGUGACUUAGCUCCGGAGGAGGAGCGAAUGAACAGCGGAACGUGUCAACGAGUCGUUUCGGGUCUUAUUUUCGUCGGAUUGUUUUCUCCGUGUUUGGAUACCUGCACUCGUCGCUUCGAAAAGAUUCAGCCCUUUUUAAAUAGGGUUUAUUAUGAACUCUCCUGCCUACCUCCGGUUCUGGCAUAAUUCAACCAACGUAAGUUAACGCUUUCAUUUGCAUGUUUUUAAUUACUUGUAAUCUCAUUAUAUUAAUGCAUAUUGCUGACUCAUUACCGAUUAACCAGACC
This 329-nucleotide long non-coding RNA is filed under the name Bemisia tabaci. RNAcentral's name for it is "lncRNA ENSSSA1NGG013114". Lineage: Eukaryota; Metazoa; Arthropoda; Insecta; Hemiptera; Aleyrodidae. The record is from RNAcentral.